GGCGCACGGGUGCGUAACACGUAGGCAAUCUUCCCUUGAGCGGGGGAUAACGUUUCGAAAGAGACGCUAAUACCGCAUAAGACCACGACGGGUUCGCUCGUUGCGGUCAAAGCUGGCCUCUCCACGGAAGCUAGCACUUAAGGACGAGCCUGCGGCCCAUCAUGCUAGUUGGUAGGGUAACGGCCUACCAAGGCGAAGACGGGUAGCUGGUCUGAGAGGAUGAUCAGCCACACUGGAACUGAAACACGGUCCAGACUCCUACGGGAGGCAGCAGUGGGGAAUAUUGGACAAUGGGCGAAAGCCUGAUCCAGCGACGCCGCGUGAGUGAUGAAGGCCUUCGGGUUGUAAAGCUCUGUUGAGGGAGAAGAAAACAGUGAGAGCGAAUAGCUCUAGCUCUUGACGGUAUCCCUUUAGAAAGCACCGGCUAACUCUGUGCCAGCCGCCGCGG
RNAcentral lists this ribosomal RNA (448 nucleotides) under uncultured bacterium. Its description in RNAcentral is "bacterial SSU rRNA". It matches the Rfam family "Bacterial small subunit ribosomal RNA", at positions 97 to 520 of the family's 1533-position model. The record is from RNAcentral.